UGCUAUACAUGCAAGUCGAGCGAAUGGAUUAAGAGCUUGCUCUUAUGAAGUUAGCGGCGGACGGGUGAGUAACACGUGGGUAACCUGCCCAUAAGACUGGGAUAACUCCGGGAAACCGGGGCUAAUACCGGAUAACAUUUUGAACCGCAUGGUUCGAAAUUGAAAGGCGGCUUCGGCUGUCACUUAUGGAUGGACCCGCGUCGCAUUAGCUAGUUGGUGAGGUAACGGCUCACCAAGGCAACGAUGCGUAGCCGACCUGAGAGGGUGAUCGGCCACACUGGGACUGAGACACGGCCCAGACUCCUACGGGAGGCAGCAGUAGGGAAUCUUCCGCAAUGGACGAAAGUCUGACGGAGCAACGCCGCGUGAGUGAUGAAGGCUUUCGGGUCGUAAAACUCUGUUGUUAGGGAAGAACAAGUGCUAGUUGAAUAAGCUGGCACCUUGACGGUACCUAACCAGAAAGCCACGGCUAACUACGUGCCAGCAGCCGCGGUAAUACGUAGGUGGCAAGCGUUAUCCGGAAUUAUUGGGCGUAAAGCGCGCGCAGGUGGUUUCUUAAGUCUGAUGUGAAAGCCCACGGCUCAACCGUGGAGGGUCAUUGGAAACUGGGAGACUUGAGUGCAGAAGAGGAAAGUGGAAUUCCAUGUGUAGCGGUGAAAUGCGUAGAGAUAUGG
This 674-nucleotide ribosomal RNA is filed under the name Bacillus anthracis (anthrax bacterium). Its description in RNAcentral is "bacterial SSU rRNA". It matches the Rfam family "Bacterial small subunit ribosomal RNA", at positions 45 to 701 of the family's 1533-position model. The record is from RNAcentral. Lineage: Bacteria; Bacillati; Bacillota; Bacilli; Caryophanales; Bacillaceae.